UCAAGCGAACAAGGGCGCAGGGCGAAUGCCUUGGCACUGGGAGCCGAUGAAAGACGUGAUAAGCUGCGAUAAGCUUCGGGGAGCUGCAAAUAAGCAUUGAUCCGGAGAUUUCUGAAUGAGGAAACUCACCUGGGUUCAUACUCAGGUACGUUAUACUGAACUUAAAAAUAGGUAUAUCGAGGGAACCGCCUGAACUGAAACAUCUAAGUAGGGCGAGGAAGAGACAUCAAACGAGAUUCCGUAAGUAGUGGCGAGCGAACGCGGAAGAGGGCAAACCGAGAGUAGAAAUACUUUCGGGGUACGGACUGCUUUUAAGACUUAAUCUGUUAACCGAACGGCAUGGGAAGGCCGGUCAGAGAGUGUGAGAACCACGUAGGUGAAAACGGAGAGAGCUGCGCAGGAUCCAGAGUACGGCCAGACACGUGAAACCUGGUCGGAAGAUGGGGGGACCACCCUCCAACCCUAAAUACUACCCAGUGACCGAUAGCGUAUAGUACUGUGAAGGAAAGGUGAAAAGCACCCCGGGAGGGGAGUGAAAAAGAACCUGAAACCCUGUGCCUACAAGCACCUAGAGCACGUCAAUGUGUGAUAGGGUACUUUUUGUAGAACGGUCCGGCGAGCGAUUGUAUGCAGCAAGGUUAAGGACUUAAGGUCUGGAGCCGAAGCGAAAGCGAGUUUGAAAAGGGCGUUAAGUUGCAUAUAAUGGGCCCGAAACCGGGUGACCUACCCAUGGUCAGGUUGAAGUGGAAGUAAAAUUCCAUGGAGGACCGAACCGACCUCCGUUGAAAAGGCGGCGGAUGAACUGUGGGUAGCGGAGAAAUUCCAAUCGAACCCGGAGAUAGCUGGUUCUCCCCGAAAUAGUUUUAGGACUAGCCUCAAGUUAGAUACCUGGAGGUAAAGCACUGAAUAGCCUAGCGGCCGAGAGGUUAGCGAAGCUUAUCAAACUCAGAAUGCCAGAGUAUUGAUGCUUGGGAGUCAGACAGUGUCAGAUAAAUGUCAUUGUCAAAAGGGAAACAGCCCAGAUCUACAGCUAAGGUCCCAAAGUCAGGUUAAGUGGAAAACGAUGUGAAGAUACGCAGACAACCAGGAUGUUGGCUCAGAAGCAGCCACUCAUUCAAAGAGUGCGUAAUAGCUCACUGGUCGAGCGUCUUUGCGCGGAGAAUUUAACGGGGCUAAACCUGACACCGAAGCUUAGGCAAUACAGCAAUGUAUUGGGUAGGGGAGCGUUGUAUACGCGGAGAAACAGUAGCGCAAGCGGCUGUGGAGUGUAUAGAAGUGAGAAUGCCGGAAUGAGUAGCGCGAAUGCAGUGAGAAUCUGCAUGGCCGAAAGCCUCAGGUUUUUGGAGGAAGGUUCGUCCGCUCCAGGUUAGUCGGGAGCUAAGGUGAGGCCUAACGGCGUAGCCGAUGCACAGACGGUAGAGAUUCCGUCACCACCAAAAGAGUUAAACACAGGGACACAUUUGAAGUCUCGGAGCCGGGUGUUGGUUCCGGUAGAGAUCGAGGGAAAUUAGUACCGAAGUCUGAGAUGGAAGAUGGCGAGAAAAGCUGUGUGUAUUUCUGCGGUGCCCGUACCGCAAACCGACACAGGUAGGUAGGAAGAAGAUUCUAAGGCCAACGGGAGAAGGGUUGUUAAGGAACUCGGCAAAUUGACCCCGUAACUUCGGGAGAAGGGGUGCUCCAGAGAUGGAGCCGCAGAGAAUCGGCCCAAGCAACUGUUUACCAAAAACACAGGUUUGUGCUAAAUCGAAAGAUGACGUAUACGAGCUGACGCCUGCCCGGUGCUGGAAGGUUAAGAGGAGAUGUGCAAGCAUUGAAUCGAAGCCCCAGUGAACGGCGGCCGUAACUAUAACGGUCCUAAGGUAGCGAAAUUCCUUGUCAGGUAAGUUCUGACCCGCACGAAAGGUGUAAUGAUCUGGACACUGUCUCAACCAUAGACU
RNAcentral lists this ribosomal RNA (1937 nucleotides) under human gut metagenome. RNAcentral describes it as "bacterial LSU rRNA". It matches the Rfam family "Bacterial large subunit ribosomal RNA", at positions 3 to 2033 of the family's 2925-position model. The record is from RNAcentral.